Non-coding RNA from Ruminococcus sp. CAG:254, 79 nucleotides. Lineage: Bacteria; Bacillati; Bacillota; Clostridia; Eubacteriales; Oscillospiraceae. The record is from Rfam.
AGAUAUGCGAUGAAGUGAAAGGUUGCCGGCGGUAUGUCGGGUAAUUUUCAUGGAGUAUGUCCGAUUUAAAACCGGGCGA